This 356-nucleotide long non-coding RNA is filed under the name Vigna radiata. RNAcentral describes it as "long non-coding RNA (VRAD_LNC007545)". Lineage: Eukaryota; Viridiplantae; Streptophyta; Magnoliopsida; Fabales; Fabaceae. The record is from RNAcentral.
GGGCCCCAGAGAGAAAGAGCAAAAUAUUAGCAUGGUAUCAUAGUGCUCUCGUGCAUCAAGACCACUUAAUGACUACUGAUAUGAAAGAAAAGAAGACACAGCAAUAGAAAAUUCAGAAAAUGGGCUGAUAAAAAGGAAAGAAAAAAGACCCUGAUUGGAAAAGUAUAGAUAGAUUAUUACAGUGGUGGGUAAUUAAGGAAAGAAGUUGAUUUGAAGAGAGGAAGAAGAAUGAAAUGUAAUGGAAGGUUUUGGAAGUUACCAUUAAGAAAGAAAAAAGGUUAGUCAAUGGGGUGUCUAAAAAGAUGUGACUUUGAAGUUGGGUUGGCAAAGGGUACAUAUUGACAAGGUGCUUUAGA